CAGUAGCCGCGGUAAUACAGAGGGUGCAAGCGUUAAUCGGAAUUACUGGGCGUAAAGCGCGCGUAGGUGGUUUGUUAAGUUGGAUGUGAAAGCCCCGGGCUCAACCUGGGAACUGCAUCCAAAACUGGCAAGCUAGAGUACGGUAGAGGGUGGUGGAAUUUCCUGUGUAGCGGUGAAAUGCGUAGAUAUAGGAAGGAACACCAGUGGCGAAGGCGACCACCUGGACUGAUACUGACACUGAGGUGCGAAAGCGUGGGGAGCAAACAGGAUUAGAUACCCCGUAGUCCCUGUCUCUUAUACA
This 301-nucleotide ribosomal RNA is filed under the name uncultured bacterium. Its description in RNAcentral is "partial 16S ribosomal RNA". It matches the Rfam family "Bacterial small subunit ribosomal RNA", at positions 509 to 808 of the family's 1533-position model. The record is from RNAcentral.